CCUACGGGAGGCAGCAGUGAGGAAUAUUUGUCAAUGGGCGCUAGCCUGAACCAGCCAAGUCGCGUGAAGGAUGACUGCCCUAUGGGUUGUAAACUUCUUUUAUAUGGGAAUAAAGUGCAGUAUGUAUACUGCUUUGCAUGUACCUUAUGAAUAAGGAUCGGCUAACUCCGUGCAAGCAGCCGCGGUAAUACGGAGGCUCCGAGCUUUAUCCGGAUUUAUUGGGUUUAAAGGGAGCGUAGGUGGGUUGUUAAGCCAGUUGUGAAAGUUUGCGGCUCAACCGUAAAAUUGCAGUUGAAACUGGCAUCCUUGAGUACAGUAGAGGGAGGCGGAAUUCGGGGUGUAGCGGUGAAAUGCUUAGAUAUCACGAAGAACCCUGAUUGCGAAGGCAGCCUGCUGGACUGUAACUGACGCUGAUGCUCGAAAGUGUGGGUAUCAAACAGGAUUAGAUACCCGGGUAGUC
Molecule: ribosomal RNA, 460 nt
Filed under: uncultured bacterium
Lineage: Bacteria
Description: partial 16S ribosomal RNA
Rfam family: Bacterial small subunit ribosomal RNA
Source: RNAcentral